RNAcentral lists this microRNA precursor (108 nucleotides) under Drosophila melanogaster (fruit fly). RNAcentral describes it as "microRNA dme-mir-193 precursor". Its record names the gene dme-mir-193. The stretch from base 10 to 101 matches the Rfam family "mir-193 microRNA precursor family". The record is from miRBase by way of RNAcentral. Lineage: Eukaryota; Metazoa; Arthropoda; Insecta; Diptera; Drosophilidae.
UGUGUGCCCUUAUUAUGGUUGGGAUUUUUUAGAUCAGCAGUUAUUGCUAUAUAGCCAUAUUUAUAAAUCUUCUACUGGCCUACUAAGUCCCAACAUAAUGAGAGUAAA